UCUCAUCCUCGUCAAUAAGUGAGGUAACCAAAGGGGAAGGAGAGAACUUGAUUGAAGUGAAGGAUGUGGAAGUUGAAGAUUGGGGAAGGAGGAAAGGACUUGAUUUCAGCCAACAACUUCAUAGGAAGACAACAUUGGGAGUUUGAUCCAAAUGCAGGAACACCACAAGAACGUGCUCAUCUUGAAACCCUUCGUCAACACUUCACAAAAAAUCGUUUUUCCAUCAAACAGAGCUCUGACCUAUUAAUGAAGAUGCAGCUAAGAAAGGAGAACAAAUGUGGAGCAAUACCAGAAGCAGUGAAAGUGGGAGAAGAAGAGAAGAUAACAGAAGAAGCAUUGCUUACAACAAUGAGAAGAGCUCUCACUUUCUCUUCAUCCAUUCAAUCACAUCAAGGUCACUGGCCUGCUGAGUUAGCUUGCCCUUUGUUUUUCAUUCAACCCUUGGUAAUGAUACUAUACAUUACGGGACACUUGGAUGCUGUUUUAGGAGCAGAACAUAAGAAGGAAAUUAUUCGCUAUUUGUAUAACCACCAGAACGAAGAUGGUGGCUGGGGAUUCCAUAUUUUGGGUCACAGUACAAUGUUCGGAUCAGGAUUGAGUUACAUUGCAUUGAGAAUACUUGGAGAAAAACUUGAAGAUCAGGAAGACAAGCCAUUGGCCAAAUCCAGAAAGUGGAUACUUGACCAUGGUGGAUUAGUGGCUAUUCCAUCGUGGGGCAAGUUUUGGGCUUCGGUGGUUGGAGUUUAUGAGUGGUCAGGUUCCAAUCCAUUUCCACCAGAGUUAUGGCUUCUACCCAAAUCUAGCCCUAUCCAUGGAGGUCACAUAUUGAACUGUUGUCGCUUGGUUUACUUGCCCCUAUCAUACGUAUAUGGCAAGAAAUUUGUGGCUCCCAUCACUGACUUAAUCAAAUCUUUAAGGGAAGAAAUGUACAUCCAACCUUAUGAUCAAAUCAACUGGAAUAAAGCCAGAAAUACUAUUGCUAAGGAGGAUCUCUACUAUCCACAUCCUCUCAUCCAAGAUAUGUUUUGGGGAUUUUUAUAUCACGUUGGAGAACGUUUUCUAAACAUUUGGCCUUUUUCCAAGCUUAGAGAAAAGGCAUUAAAAAUCACAAUGAAUCAUAUAAAAUAUGAGGAUGAGAUUAGUCACUACCUUUGCGUCGGAGUUGUUGAGAAGGUUUUGUCUUUGAUUGCACAUUGGGCUCAUGAGCCAAAUUCAGAGGCAUUCAAACUUCACUUAGCUCGAAUCCCUGAUUACUUUUGGAUUGCUGAAGAUGGCUUAAAAAUUGUGGCUCUGGGAAGUCAAUUGUGGGAUGCUGCACUUGCGGUACAAGCAAUAAUUGCUUGUAAUAUGAACGAAGAGUAUGGACAUGUACUUAAGAAAGCACAUGACUUUAUCAAAGCUUCACAGAUUCGUGAAAAUCCCAAAGGUGACUUCAAGGCAAUGCAUAGACAUAUAUCAAAAGGGGCGUGGGCAUUCUCAAUUCGUGAUAAUGGUUUACAAGUUUCUGAUUGCACUGGAGAAGCACUAAAGGCUGCACUUCUAUUGUCAAAAUUGCCAACGGAACUAGUUGGGGAGAAAAUGGAAGAACAAUGUUUCUAUGAUGCCGUGAAUGUGACUCUCUCUCUACAAAGUAGUAAUGGUGGAUACUGCGUGUGGGAGCCUCGGAUAGCCUUUCGAUGGUUAGAGAAAUUCAAUCCAACUGAAUUCUUUGAGAGCGUCGUCAUUGAAAUGGAGUACGUAGAGUGCACAGCAUCAGCAAUGCUGGGAUUGGUUAUAUUCAGAGAGCUUUACCCAAAUCACAGAAGGAAGGAAAUAGAUCAAUCAAUUUCCAAGUCAAUCCAUUUCAUUGAAAGCACACAGAAUCCUGAUGGCUCUUGGUAUGGUUGUUGGGGAGUUUGUUAUACAUAUGGCACAUGGUUUGCUGUGGAAGGACUAAAAGGCGUUGGAAAGAACUACCAUAACUGUCCUGCAUUGCGCAAAGCAUGUCAAUUUUUGUUGUCUAAACAACUUCCUAAUGGUGGUUGGGGUGAAAGUUACUUGUCAAGCCAAAACAAGGUGUAUACAAAUUUAGAAGGCAACCGUGCAAAUAUAGUUCAAACAUCGUGGGCUUUGUUGUCCCUUAUGGGCGCAGGGCAAGCUGAGAUUGAUCCAAUACCCAUACACCGUGGAAUGAAGUUACUAAUCAAUUUACAACUGGAAGAUGGAGACUUCCCUCAACCGGAUGCCACAGGAGUAUUUUUCAGGAACUGCUUCUUGAACUAUGCAUCGUAUCGAAUGAUAUUUUCUAUUUGGGCUUUGGGAGAAUAUCGCAGCAGAGUUUUGCAUACAUGAACCACUGCAUCCAUAAUAAUUUAAUUACCAAAGUUAUCGAAUUCUCGAAUUCACUCCUACACUUUUUUAAGUUGCUUUUAUCAUAAUAAUAUGGUUGUUUGUGUACAAUAUGUAAAAUGUGUUUCGUAUUUCGUAUGUAUUUGUUUGGCUUUGAUACAAGUUGUCUUUCCGCAAACAUAAUGCAUCUUGUUCUUUAAUAAUGUAAGCAGAAUUUAUAUAAAUAUUUUAUUUAAUUGGUCGUACUUUAAUUAGUCAUCCUACUUUUGUUUUUCCGAGUGAGAAUUAGUGCUGAAGAUGGUUUCUGGGAGAGAAUCGCCAGAGAGUUUUGUAAGCAUGAAGACCACAUCCAUCAAAGACUAAGAUUCAAGAAGCACGUCCACUAGUGCGCAACCACACUAGUGCGCCACUCACCACCGUCAAGAAGCACGUCCACGGUCCAUCGAAGAUUCAAGUCGCCGCCUCAUCGCCUACUGCCUCCUGCUCGUCAGUCGUCAGUCGUCACCUCCGGCCUCCCUCUUCUCUGCUCGAGUGCUCGUCCCUCCAUCUCUCCAAGGUCCAACCCAGUUGCAAAUUUGAUAAUGUGGAGACAGAAGAAUAUUAGUGUGGGAAUAUUAUUAGUCAGAGAAUAGGAUGAAGGAGAUUGGGAAUAUUAUUACUUAGUGUAGGAAUAUCGUUACUUAUGUGGGACCGGGUUAACCAGUUCAACUAGUGACCCACUGGUUAAAGCAAUGAUUCAGUGACCCAGUAAUUUGAUCG
Molecule: RNA transcript, 3087 nt
Organism: Arachis stenosperma
Lineage: Eukaryota; Viridiplantae; Streptophyta; Magnoliopsida; Fabales; Fabaceae
Gene name: lupeol synthase-like
Exons: 20
Source: RefSeq, a predicted model, not a curated record